Molecule: long non-coding RNA, 388 nt
Filed under: Solanum tuberosum (potato)
Lineage: Eukaryota; Viridiplantae; Streptophyta; Magnoliopsida; Solanales; Solanaceae
Description: long non-coding RNA (STUB_LNC010794)
Source: RNAcentral
GUUGAUCCAGUUGAGCACUCCAAAGUCAGUGUGAGCCUCCUUGUUUCCGGAGGGCUCAGUUAUUUUGUUCUCUUAGUUUUGUUUUAUUAGGGUGUUGCGGGGUCUGUCCCAACAUCCAUCUAAGUAUUUUAGAGGCUUCAUAGACAGUCAGUCAGUUAGUUCUGAGUCUCUUAUCUAUGUAUUUAUGUAAAUAUUCUAUUUUGAGACUUGAGUUGCCUUUUUGGCCAAAUGUGUAUCAUUUAAGUUGUUUACAUCUUUGCAUGGCAUUGAGUUAUUCUGUUGAGUAGGUUUCCGCUGAGUUAAGAAAGCCAGGCCAAGGGUUCGCUUGGGGCCAGCAAUGGUCUCCGAGUGCCGGUCUCGCCCAGGGUGUAGGCUCGGGGCGUGACAA